Long non-coding RNA from Bufo gargarizans (Asiatic toad), 1423 nucleotides. RefSeq lists it as uncharacterized. The record is from RefSeq and is a predicted model, not a curated record. NCBI's taxonomy places the organism in Eukaryota, Metazoa, Chordata, Amphibia, Anura, Bufonidae. The transcript is spliced from 3 exons.
CCAAUUCGUUUGUGUUUCAACUCAAUCACAUUAAAACAGGAGAAAAUCCACAACUCAUAACAGAUGGUAGCAGCCAUUUGUGCAUCCACGAUUACUUGAUCCAAGUGUGGGACAAGCUUCCGGUUAGACUCCAGAAACUUGGCAAUUUAUGGCAUCUCAACCAUAGAAAUCUACGGAUGAGAAACAGCAAGCUGUAUUUCUGAAAAAGGUGACGUGCAAAAAUCACGUGAGACGCCACCAAACACAUGAUCAACACUCGGAAGUUUUGAUUAAGCUUUGAUUCAAGCGCAAUACACCAUUGUUGCUGGCACAGGAAAAUAAAUCUUCGCCGACCAGGCGUGCAGUCUGCCCAACCGAAUAACCACCGGAGCGGAUCCAAGAAAUCAAGGUGGAUGUGAGGUCUAAAGUUCCAUCACCAAGUGCCAGUCAGGACAGCUCUGAGAGUUCUAGAGAGUCUGACCUCAUCUAUAGCAGCUCUACCAUGGGCAUUAGUGCACAUUUACACAUUGCAAACCAGCAUCCUUAUAGGAUGAAAUUGGCAUCUAUCAACUCCUGGUUUGUUGUUUGUUGAUGAUCAGGACAGAAACUUGGGAAGACCUGUCUUAUGGCUACAUCCGAGAAAUAUAUCGCACAAGGCAGAUUAUUUCUGGCCAUUCCGGUAACUCUGACAAUGGACGCCUCAGCCACAGGUUCGGGAGAACACAUGUUCUUUGAGUUCAGAGGAAGUUGUCUCCAUAAAAAAAGUAUCUGUAGUCCAAUAUCAGUUAUAUAUUAGGAGUGAUACUAUCUAGCCCGUUAUUAUAGCAUACUCAGUGGUGGUGCAAACAGAUGAUAUCUCCGCCAUGUGUUUAAUCAACAAACUGGACAGGACUCGCUCUGCCCCACGGAACAGUCAACGCAGUGAAAUUAUGACUUGAGCAGUGGAAUGUUAAACAAUAGGCAGCCAUCCACAUUCAAGGUGCUCUGAAUGUUCAGGUGGACCUGUUAAGCAGGUCAUAGUUGAAGCAGGAAAAACAGGCUGUCAACAACUGCGUUUUCAAACAGAUUGUACUCGGAUAGGGUACCUCCAUUUAGCGUAGUGGCAACAGCUUCCAAUACCAAGCUCAAAAGGUUCUGAUCCCUAAACCCAGCGGAUCACCCAGAGAAUAGAUGGCCUGUCUUUCAGCUGGAAAGGAAUUUUCAUAUAAGUUCUGUGCUCAGGAAAAUCAAAUGACAAUCUCAGCUAUAGCUGUAAUUCUUGACUGGCCAGGAGGGCAUGUUACCUCACUUGCUACAACUUUCCAGAGGAAAUUAUUGAAGAUUAACAGUCUGGCCAGAGCUUCUGGUUCAAGUGGGCCUACAGCAUCCAAACCAGAGAUGUUUCAGCUUGCCACCUGGAAUUUUAUGCCCAGCCCAGUUCUGUAAUGACCGGCGUCACGCAAAG